Molecule: ribosomal RNA, 497 nt
Filed under: uncultured bacterium
Lineage: Bacteria
Description: partial 16S ribosomal RNA
Rfam family: Bacterial small subunit ribosomal RNA
Source: RNAcentral
GAUGAACCCUGGCGGCGUGCCUAAUACAUGCAAGUCGAGCGAACAGACGAGGAGCUUGCUCCUCUGACGUUAGCGGCGGACGGGUGAGUAACACGUGGAUAACCUACCUAUAAGACUGGGAUAACUUCGGGAAACCGGAGCUAAUACCGGAUAAUAUAUUGAACCGCAUGGUUCAAUAGUGAAAGACGGUUUUGCUGUCACUUAUAGAUGGAUCCGCGCCGCAUUAGCUAGUUGGUAAGGUAACGGCUUACCAAGGCAACGAUGCGUAGCCGACCUGAGAGGGUGAUCAGCCACACUGGAACUGAGACACGGUCCAGACUCCUACGGGAGGCAGCAGUAGGGAAUCUUCCGCAAUGGGCGAAAGCCUGACGGAGCAACGCCGCGUGAGUGAUGAAGGUCUUCGGAUCGUAAAACUCUGUUAUUAGGGAAGAACAAAUGUGUAAGUAACUAUGCACGUCUUGACGGUACCUAAUCAGAAAGCCACGGCUAACUACGUG